AGUGAAUAGAUACCCCUGGUAGUCCCACGCUGUAAACGAUGAGUGCUGGACGUUGGCGGGUUUACCUGCCGGUGUCGCAGCUAACGCGUUAAGCACUCCGCCUGGGGAGUACGGCCGCAAGGUUAAAACUCAAAGGAAUUGACGGGGGCCCGCACAAGCGGUGGAGCAUGUGGUUUAAAUUCGACGCAACGCGCAGAACCUUACCAGCCCUUGACAUGGGCGGACGGGGUCCAGAGAUGGACUCUUUCUCGCAAGAGACCGCUACGACAGGUGCGUGCAUGGCUGUCGUCAGCUCGUGUCGUGACGAUGUUGGGUUAAGUCCCGUCAACGAGCGCAACCCGUCGUCGUCCAGUUGCCGAUCGGGUACGAGCCGGGUCACUUUGGAGAAACUG
Molecule: ribosomal RNA, 392 nt
Filed under: uncultured bacterium
Lineage: Bacteria
Description: bacterial SSU rRNA
Rfam family: Bacterial small subunit ribosomal RNA
Source: RNAcentral